Molecule: ribosomal RNA, 253 nt
Filed under: uncultured bacterium
Lineage: Bacteria
Description: partial 16S ribosomal RNA
Rfam family: Bacterial small subunit ribosomal RNA
Source: RNAcentral
UACGAAGGGAGCUAGCGUUGUUCGGAAUCACUGGGCGUAAAGCGCACGUAGGCGGCGUGUCGCGUCGGGAGUGAAAGACCGGGGCUUAACCCCGGUUCUGCUUCCGGUACGGGCAUGCUGGAGUGUGGCAGGGGAGACUGGAAUUCCUGGUGUAGCGGUGGAAUGCGCAGAUAUCAGGAGGAACACCGGUGGCGAAGGCGGGUCUCUGGGCCAUUACUGACGCUGAGGAGCGAAAGCGUGGGGAGCGAACAGG